UUUCGUGGGGGUCUAACUGUUUGUUAGGAUUCCUGGUUUCCACCCAGGUGGCCCGGGAUCAACUCCCAGUGUGGAAA
Non-coding RNA from Saguinus oedipus (cotton-top tamarin), 77 nucleotides. Lineage: Eukaryota; Metazoa; Chordata; Mammalia; Primates; Cebidae. The record is from the annotation of a GenBank genome assembly.